CCUGCGGAGUUCUGAUGGGAUCCGGU
This 26-nucleotide small nuclear RNA is filed under the name Arabidopsis thaliana (thale cress). Its description in RNAcentral is "snRNA_05634". Lineage: Eukaryota; Viridiplantae; Streptophyta; Magnoliopsida; Brassicales; Brassicaceae. The record is from RNAcentral.